Non-coding RNA from Picea glauca (white spruce), 124 nucleotides. The record is from Rfam. Lineage: Eukaryota; Viridiplantae; Streptophyta; Pinopsida; Pinales; Pinaceae.
UCACUUGCACAUUCCUACACCGUUAAUGCACCAAAUCCCAUUAGAACUCCACAGUUAAGUGCACUUGGGCUAGAUUAGUAAUGGGAUGGGUGAUCUCCUGGGAAGUCUUAGUGUUUUACAUGCC